This 28-nucleotide small RNA is filed under the name Bombyx mori (domestic silkworm). Its description in RNAcentral is "ovarian small RNA-15429". The record is from RNAcentral. Lineage: Eukaryota; Metazoa; Arthropoda; Insecta; Lepidoptera; Bombycidae.
GACCACACGGGAGCGCCAUACAAGCCAU